RNAcentral lists this ribosomal RNA (492 nucleotides) under uncultured bacterium. Its description in RNAcentral is "partial 16S ribosomal RNA". It matches the Rfam family "Bacterial small subunit ribosomal RNA", at positions 29 to 507 of the family's 1533-position model. The record is from RNAcentral.
AGUGAACGCUGGCGGUAGGCCUAACACAUGCAAGUCGAACGGCAGCACAGUAAGAGCUUGCUCUUACGGGUGGCGAGUGGCGGACGGGUGAGGAAUACAUCGGAAUCUACUUUUUCGUGGGGGAUAACGUAGGGAAACUUCCGCUAAUACCGCAUACGACCUACGGGUUAAAGCAGGGGAUCUUCGGACCUUGCGCGAUUGAAUUAGCCGAUGUCGGAUUAGCUAGUUGGCGGGGUAAAGGCCCACCAAGGCGACGAUCCGUAGCUGGUCUGAGAGGAUGAUCGGCCACACUGGAACUGAGACACGGUCCAGACUCCUACGGGAGGCAGCAGUGGGGAAUAUUGGACAAUGGGCGCAAGCCUGAUCCAGCCAUACCGCGUGGGUGAAGAAGGCCUUCGGGUUGUAAAGCCCUUUUGUUGGGAAAGAAAAGCAGCAGGUUAAUACCCCGCUGUUCUGACGGUACCCAAAGAAUAAGCACCGGCUAACUUCGUG